RNAcentral lists this long non-coding RNA (306 nucleotides) under Zea mays. Its description in RNAcentral is "long non-coding RNA (ZMAY_LNC005425)". Lineage: Eukaryota; Viridiplantae; Streptophyta; Magnoliopsida; Poales; Poaceae. The record is from RNAcentral.
CGACCUGCGCGGCUACUUCGUCUGGUCCUUCAUGGACGUGUUCGAGUUUCUCUUCUCCUACAGGUUCCGCUUCGGUCUCUACGGCGUGGACUUCGCCGCCGACAACCGGACGAGGUACGCUCGGCGCUCCGCGCGAUGGUACGCCGGCUUCCUCCGCGGCGGCGGCGGCGACCUCACGCCCGCCGCCGCCGCCUCUGUUUCAACGCGGACACACGGCUCCACCUAUUCGGAGUGAAAAUCAGCCGCACGUGUCUGUGUUAUAGAUUCAUCGCGAGUGAACAAGUACAUGAUGGAUGUUCUUCACCC